GGCAUGUUGUGCCGCAACAUGAUGUGUGCAUCAUUUUCGACAAGGGCACCCAGAAUGCAGUCCGCUUUCGAACGACGUUUAAGCCUAUGGGAUCGUGCACACCAUAGGUAUUGUUUGCGUCACAUAGUGUCUAACUACAUGGGUUGAUACCGUAAAGAUGCGAAGCAACAACAUGUCAUUAACAUGGGUACGUUGUGCAUAGAAUUAGUUUCCUAUAAAAUAAUUUGACAUAUACGUUUUGGUUCACUUUUCUUGAAUACUUUGUUGAUUGUCAUUGAUAGGGUACGAGCUUGUCCAACAUCGAUUCCAUGAAAUGUUAGAGAGACUACGGGCUGUAAACCAACCGGGUGCGCGGGACCUCAAUGCGAUACUGAUCUGCCACAAAUUUAUGUGGCAAAUUAGGCUUUUUCGACGCACUAAAAAAGGUUUUUUCUCAAGAAAAAUAGAGUUUUUAGCAUAGUUUUUCAUUAUUUUUGUUAUUUUCAUAUAUUCGGAUAAUAAGUGAAAAUAUAUCGUUUUUAACUAUUUUUUUACCCAA
This 538-nucleotide long non-coding RNA is filed under the name Gossypium raimondii (Peruvian cotton). RNAcentral describes it as "long non-coding RNA (GRAI_LNC002629)". The record is from RNAcentral. Lineage: Eukaryota; Viridiplantae; Streptophyta; Magnoliopsida; Malvales; Malvaceae.